This 1689-nucleotide long non-coding RNA is filed under the name Homo sapiens (human). Its description in RNAcentral is "HSALNT0356981". Lineage: Eukaryota; Metazoa; Chordata; Mammalia; Primates; Hominidae. The record is from RNAcentral.
CUUAUUACCUUUUUGUGUUCCAUAUUGAACAUGUACUACAUGAUUAGAAAAAAAAAUUCUUAAAUAGAAAAAUGAGUAGGGUGCGGAGAAUGGUAAAGACAAACUUUAAGGAAAUCCAGAGAACUGAUUCUUUCACAAUAGAAGAAAAUACAGUAAACAUGCUUAAUAUCUGAGGGCUACCCCGAAAAAACAUGAACUGGUAUCAGCGCCCUUCAGCUCUCUUAAAGAACUUUACAUAUGUGACCGAGGUGCCCCCAUACUCCUUCCUAUCAUGUAACCAACACAUAAUGUGGACAGCACUACACUGCAAACAGAAUUACAGGAAGACUCUUAUAGGAAGAAUUAGAAUCCAAAGUACACAAUCAAUAAAGCUUUAGAAAAAGGGGUAGUAAAAAGCAGAAGACAAAAAAAAAUCAGGUAAUAUAAAUUGGAAAGCUCAGCUGAUGGAGGGAAUCAUCAGAAAAAAAAUAAUGUGACAACACUUCAAGAUGUGAUAGAGACUUUGAAUGGAAAGCUGAAGGGAGAGGAAGGGGAUUGAGAUAAGGAUCAAUGACCUGCAGUUAAUAUGAGCUCUCAGAACACAUCCCCCAGAACUGGUGUCAGCCUAGAAGGCAAGAAGCAUUUCUCACCUAGGGACCACUCUCACUUAACUCUCUCUAGCUGCCUUAACAUUCUGUUUGUUCUUGUCAUUCUCGCAAAGUUCUAAAACAGGCUAUUUGAAAUUAAGCACUUCCCCCCAGCAACUCCGUGAAUUACGUAAUAGUGAAAAAUGGAGAUAGACAAAAAGCAAACCUGAGGAAGGAAAGGAAUGUUAAGAGUCACCAGUAAAAUGAGCAUUCAUUCAUUAAGCCAAUCAUCAGGAAUGGAUCUAGGAAGAACCUACUGUUUACUAGAAAUAGGUUAGAUCUGUGGAUAUAACAAUGAAUAAGACAAGACUGGUGGAUCUAUAGAGAAACUAUUACUGCACAGGUGAUGGGGAAAUCAAGAGUACUAUGGGGCCAAGGAGACUGUCCUGCAGCAAAUGAGGAAUAAGCUGAAACAUCAGUAGGAGCCAUCCCAGAGAAAAGGGACAGGGUUCUAGAUCCAGAGAACAACAGAAGAGCAUUCAGCGCCUGCAAGGGAGCAGGGGAUCUAAUGCAAAGCCAUUGCAUAACCAGUCAACUUUCCCCACAUCACAAGAUUGCCUAGCCUGGAUGGCCCCAGAAUGUUGAAACAAAUGUCUAAUUAGUAACGACAUUCUGAAUGCUUGGGAGCUGAGCAAAAUAUGAGGAGAAGCAACCUGAUUUUUGUUUCAUAUUAUCAUCUCCUUUAUUCCAGCAACAAAAGACACUGAAAAUAGUAAAUGCCCACUUUCAACCAUGACAGCCCUUUUAGGAUAGUAACGGUGAGCAGUAUUAAUCCUAUUUGACCAGAACUAGGGCAGAAUUGAAGCCCCUGGAGUAGAGAUCUGUUCUAUUAGCCCCAGCCUUUCCGCCUGCUUCUUGGGAUGGCUAUCUUUACUUUAUCAGUUGAGCCUCCAGCAUUAGCAGAUACCUAUAAGGGAAGAGAUCCAGCCCUCACUAUGGAGGGCCAGAAAGAGAAAGCACCAGACAUUAGGAAAUGUCAAAGUAUCUCAGUACAUCCAGCUGAUUAGUGACAGAUAAGUCAAAAUUUGCAGCAACUAAAUAAAUCAAAAAGUAGAUUUUAAAA